Daldinia caldariorum is the source of this 103-nucleotide non-coding RNA. NCBI's taxonomy places the organism in Eukaryota, Fungi, Ascomycota, Sordariomycetes, Xylariales, Hypoxylaceae. The record is from the annotation of a RefSeq genome assembly.
GGCGCUUUGGCGGAGUGGUUAACGCGAUGCCCUGCUAUAUUUUCGCGAUAUAACUUGGAAGGCAUUUCCUUCGGGAGCGCAGGUUCGAAUCCUGCAGGCGUCG